Molecule: long non-coding RNA, 1181 nt
Organism: Leopardus geoffroyi (Geoffroy's cat)
Lineage: Eukaryota; Metazoa; Chordata; Mammalia; Carnivora; Felidae
Exons: 5
Source: RefSeq, a predicted model, not a curated record
GGUGCUUCACAUAGAUUAUUCAAUUAGUAAAGUAAUCCUAUGGAGUAGGUAUUAUCAUCUCCUGCUUCUUCUGCAGAUAAGGAAACUGAGAAUGGGGAAGUUGGAAUGUCUAAACUGACACAUCUUGCAUGUGGCAGAGCUGAAUUCAAACUCAGACAGGGCAGAAGCCAACCCAUGUCCUUUCCCUGCAGCAUGGUGACCACAGCAUGCUCCCUCUCACGCGGUUCUCGGAUGAGCGAGCCAACAGAAGGAUAUAGAGCUUUAAAAAAAUUCCAGGAACUGACACCUGGACCUCAUGUCCCACCUUCCACUCAGGAAGUAAAGUCAGAACUAAGUUCCCUGCUGCUACAGACAGGGCAGUGCAAGAUCAGAUAAAACUAAUCAGUAACUAACCAUGGCUGCGAAGAGAAAGAGAAAAUAAUUUCCAGGUAAAAUCCAGAUACAGGUGACAACCUUAGUAAAAAAUUAUUUCGAACUAACCUCUUCUAAGGAAUUUGGGACCAAAUAACAGCUCUGACUAGAGAAUAAAAUGAUCUGGAAGGAGACACAGCAAGUUCAAGAAAAUACCUACCUUGAGAAACAGGCAGAAAAAAAAUCACUAGGAACCACCGGGGGCUGUUUGGUUGGGUGCAUACCUACCUGAGCCUUGAGAACACAUCUGGUCCUUAGCAAACCUCAUCUGGACAGAAAAAAAAAUAAAACAAAACAUGUCUUAAAAACAAAACUCAGAUGUGGAAAAAUAAGGUUAUCCAAAUCUUGUUUGCCUUUGACUUCAAAGGACUCCUAUAUGGGAUAAACUUUGAGGAAUAUGAAAAGAGAAGAUUUGGCUCAAAGAACAGAAGGAUCAAAUCAAAGUACAAAGUUGUGAGAAAGAGCCCGAAAAACAUUUUACUGUGGUUGGAGCCAUUGGCCAUGCACUUUGAACAAAACCAAGUUCACACAGAGUAGUGAACUUAGUGAAGAACGUUCCAAGAUGUUCUAAAUUACAAGAAGGGAGAAGAGAGUCAUGUGGAUCAAACAAAGUGGAAACAGUUGUAAAAGUGUUAAUUGCAGGACUUCUCAGAGUGUUCAGAAUGCUAAUUCGAAUCAUGAACUUCCAAAUGUGGAACAUUUUAUUAUGCAUUUACAAAACAAAAUAAGCCACUGGAGUUUUUAUUUGAUAAAACCUUAUUAAUAUUCUG